RNAcentral lists this ribosomal RNA (215 nucleotides) under uncultured Streptococcaceae bacterium. Its description in RNAcentral is "partial 16S ribosomal RNA". It matches the Rfam family "Bacterial small subunit ribosomal RNA", at positions 124 to 334 of the family's 1533-position model. Lineage: Bacteria; Bacillati; Bacillota; Bacilli; Lactobacillales; Streptococcaceae. The record is from RNAcentral.
ACCUGCCUGGUAGCGGGGGAUAACUAUUGGAAACGAUAGCUAAUACCGCAUAAUAGUAGAUGUUGCAUGACAUUUGCUUAAAAGGUGCAAUUGCAUCACUACCAGAUGGACCUGCGUUGUAUUAGCUAGUUGGUGAGGUAACGGCUCACCAAGGCAACGAUACAUAGCCGACCUGAGAGGGUGAUCGGCCACACUGGGACUGAGACACGGCCCAG